GUAUGUAUGUAGCACAUGUAUGUAUGUAGCACAUGUAUGUAUGUAUGUAUGUAUGUAGCACAUGUAUGUAUGUAUGUAUGUAUGUAGCACAUGUAUGUAUGUAUGUAUGUAUGUAUGUAUCACAUGUAUGUAUGUAUGUAUGUAUGUAUGUAUGUAUGUAUGUAGCACAUGUAUGUAUGUAUGUAUGUAUGUAUGUAUGUAUGUAUGUAUGUAUGUAUGUAUGUAUGUAUGUAGCACAUGUAUGUAUGUAUGUAGCACAUGUAUGUAUGUAUGUAUGUAUGUAUCACAUGUAUGUAUGUAUGUAUGUAGCACAUGUAUGUAUGUAUGUAGCACAUGUAUGUAUGUAUGUAGCACAUGUAUGUAUGUAUGUAUGUAGCACAUGUAUGUAUGUAGCACA
Ictalurus punctatus (channel catfish) is the source of this 397-nucleotide long non-coding RNA. The record is from Ensembl. NCBI's taxonomy places the organism in Eukaryota, Metazoa, Chordata, Actinopteri, Siluriformes, Ictaluridae.